This 382-nucleotide ribosomal RNA is filed under the name uncultured eukaryote. Its description in RNAcentral is "partial 18S ribosomal RNA". It matches the Rfam family "Eukaryotic small subunit ribosomal RNA", at positions 592 to 976 of the family's 1831-position model. The record is from RNAcentral.
UGUAAGCGUAUACCAAAGUUGUUGCAGUUAAAACGCUCGUAGUCGGAAUUUGGCAGUUCCGGAUGUGUGCACGUCGUGUGCGCACUUCGCGGGGAUUGCUUUUGUGGUCUUGCGUAGGAUGAGGCACUUUUAUUAGUGAACGUCCUCACGCAACCACUUUUUACUGUGAGAAAAUCAGAGUGCUCAAAGCAGGCAUUUGCCGUGAAUGUAUUAGCAUGGAAUAAUAGAAUAGGACUUGGUUCUAUUUUGUUGGUUUGUUGGGACUGAGUAAUGAUUAAGAGGGACAGUUGGGGGCAUUUGUAUUCCGGCGCUAGAGGUGAAAUUCUUAGAUUGCCGGAAGACAAACUGCUGCGAAAGCGUCUGCCAAGGAUGUUUUCAUUGA